This 749-nucleotide ribosomal RNA is filed under the name Flagellimonas marinaquae. Its description in RNAcentral is "bacterial SSU rRNA". It matches the Rfam family "Bacterial small subunit ribosomal RNA", at positions 425 to 1178 of the family's 1533-position model. The record is from RNAcentral. Lineage: Bacteria; Pseudomonadati; Bacteroidota; Flavobacteriia; Flavobacteriales; Flavobacteriaceae.
GUAAACUGCUUUUAUACGGGAAGAAAUGCGCCCACGUGUGGGCGUCUGACGGUACCGUAAGAAUAAGGACCGGCUAACUCCGUGCCAGCAGCCGCGGUAAUACGGAGGGUCCGAGCGUUAUCCGGAAUCAUUGGGUUUAAAGGGUCCGUAGGCGGGCCUGUAAGUCAGGGGUGAAAGUUUGUGGCUCAACCAUAAAAUUGCCUUUGAUACUGCAGGUCUUGAGUCAUGGUGGGGUCGCCGGAACAUGUGGUGUAGCGGUGAAAUGCAUAGAUAUCACAUAGAACACCGAUCGCGAAGGCAGGUGGCCAACCAUGUACUGACGCUGAUGGACGAAAGCGUGGGUAGCGAACGGGAUUAGAUACCCCGGUAGUCCACGCCGUAAACGAUGGAUACUAGCUGUGGGGACUUCGGUCUCCGUGGCCAAGCGAAAGUGAUAAGUAUCCCACCUGGGGAGUACGUUCGCAAGAAUGAAACUCAAAGGAAUUGACGGGGGCCCGCACAAGCGGUGGAGCAUGUGGUUUAAUUCGAUGAUACGCGAGGAACCUUACCAGGGCUUAAAUGCAGGCUGCAUGGGGUAGAGAUACCCCUUUCUUCGGACCGCCUGCAAGGUGCUGCAUGGUUGUCGUCAGCUCGUGCCGUGAGGUGUCAGGUUAAGUCCUAUAACGAGCGCAACCCCUACCGUUAGUUGCCAGCAUGUCAAGAUGGGGACUCUAACGGGACUGCCGGUGCAAACCGUGAGGAAGGUGGGG